This 253-nucleotide ribosomal RNA is filed under the name uncultured bacterium. RNAcentral's name for it is "partial 16S ribosomal RNA". It matches the Rfam family "Bacterial small subunit ribosomal RNA", at positions 524 to 776 of the family's 1533-position model. The record is from RNAcentral.
UACGAAGGGUGCAAACGUUGCUCGGAAUCAUUGGGCGUAAAGCGCACGUAGGCGGCUUUGCAAGUCUGACGUGAAAUCCCUCAGCUCAACUGAGGAAGUGCAUCGGAAACUGCAAGGCUUGAGUACUGAAGAGGAUCGCGGAAUUCCCGGUGUAGAGGUGAAAUUCGUAGAUAUCGGGAGGAACACCAGUGGCGAAGGCGGCGAUCUGGGCAGAUACUGACGCUGAGGUGCGAAAGCGUGGGGAGCGAACAGG